GUAGGGAAUAUUGGGCAAUGGAGGCAACUCUGACCCAGCCAUGCCGCGUGCAGGAUGACGGCCCUCUGGGUUGUAAACUGCUUUUAUACGGGAAGAAAAAAUACUACGUGUAGUAUACUGACGGUACCGUAAGAAUAAGGAUCGCCUAACUCCGUGCCAGCAGCCGCGGUAAUACGGAGGAUCCAAGCGUUGUCCGGAUUUAUUGGGUUUAAAGGGUGCGUAGGCGGAUCUUUAAGUCAGUGGUGAAAGCCUGCAGCUUAACUGUAGAAUUGCCAUUGAAACUGAAGAUCUUGAAUGUGGUUAAAGUAGGCGGAAUGUAUCAUGUAGCGGUGAAAUGCUUAGAUAUGAUACAGAACACCGAUAGCGAAGGCAGCUUGCUGAACCAUUAUUGACGCUGAGGCACGAAAGCGUGGGGAGCGAACAGGAUUAGAUACCCUUGUAGUCC
Molecule: ribosomal RNA, 445 nt
Filed under: uncultured bacterium
Lineage: Bacteria
Description: partial 16S ribosomal RNA
Rfam family: Bacterial small subunit ribosomal RNA
Source: RNAcentral